RNAcentral lists this transfer RNA (67 nucleotides) under Agriotes ustulatus. RNAcentral's name for it is "tRNA-Asp". The record is from RNAcentral. Lineage: Eukaryota; Metazoa; Arthropoda; Insecta; Coleoptera; Elateridae.
AAAAAUUUAGUUAAAAUAUAACAUUAGCUUGUCAAGUUGAAAUAAUUAAUUAAAUUAAUAAUUUUUA